Paramisgurnus dabryanus is the source of this 375-nucleotide non-coding RNA. The record is from the annotation of a RefSeq genome assembly. NCBI's taxonomy places the organism in Eukaryota, Metazoa, Chordata, Actinopteri, Cypriniformes, Cobitidae.
AUGACUUUCAUCAUCAUCUUCAUCUGGACACUCACAGUCUUUACUCAAGUGUGUAGAGGACAGUUCACUGUUACUCAGAGUCAAUCAAAAACAGCAGUUCAAGCAGGACAACAACUUCAAAUAAACUGUAAAGUCAGCAGUAGAGUGCAUGAUGGUAAUCGUUUACACUGGUUCUUGCAGAAACCUGGACAGGCUCCUAAACUCAUCAUAUAUUGGGCAUCAAACCUCUACACUGGAAUUCCAUCAAGAUUCAGUGGCAGCGGAUCAAACACAGAUUUCACUUUGACCAUCAGAGGAGUUCAGACUGAAGAUUCAGGAGAUUAUUACUGUCAGGGUCAACACUAUAUCAGUAAUAGCUGGGUGUACACACAGUGA